RNAcentral lists this unclassified non-coding RNA (336 nucleotides) under Hevea brasiliensis (rubber tree). The record is from RNAcentral. Lineage: Eukaryota; Viridiplantae; Streptophyta; Magnoliopsida; Malpighiales; Euphorbiaceae.
CAGACACUGAAACUCUGCAAGCUAUAGCUUUAAGCUCAGAAUCACUAAUUAAAACCAGUAACCGGAAACUGAUCGCCGGCCACCUCCACUCCGAUCCAAUGGUCAACUUUUGAAUAAACAACUACCCAGAAUCUCAAACGCUGAAAAAAAAAAAAUAAUAAAACACCAAAUCUGAAAGUUGCAACAGUGUUAAGGCUGCUUUAGAAAAUUAAAUAACAGCGAACAGAAAAGAUAGACUUCGAGUGAUGGCUUUUUGCAGAAAAAAGGCCAAGCCUUUGGUCUAUGCUCUUACUUCUUAAGGAAGAGAAAAAGAAAGGAAAUAAACAAAUUUUUUUU